This 456-nucleotide ribosomal RNA is filed under the name Triticum aestivum (bread wheat). Its description in RNAcentral is "partial small subunit ribosomal RNA". Lineage: Eukaryota; Viridiplantae; Streptophyta; Magnoliopsida; Poales; Poaceae. The record is from RNAcentral.
GAAAGGAUCACUCGACGCCGGCAGGGCAAACUGCCGCUUGUCAUUCCAGAAGGGAAGUUAAGGCCGGAGGCACCUCUUCUUGCUGCAAAGUUCGCAACUGAAUGCAACGUCACAGUUAGACACCAUAUGCCCGUGUUUAAGCGCUGGAAGGAUUACAAGGACCCAGAUGGACAUGUCCGAGAUGGGAUCUUCAGGAACUUUGUAGGAAAACUUGGUAACAAGUUUCAGAUGGAUGUUGAUGUUGUGCCAGUUAGGAAGGCUUGUACUGAAAUGCUGAAACAUGCGACUCGCCAACAACGAUACAGGAUCAAGAAAGAUUAUUUUGACCCUCACCCACUCCAUUUGGUGACGAGAACGUCUCCUGUGCCCUCGAUGACCGAUGAGCAGUGGAAUGAGCUAGUGGAAAGCUGGAAGGAUCCCAAAAAGAUGGUAUGUUUCUUGAUGUAUUUGGUGUAA